RNAcentral lists this ribosomal RNA (253 nucleotides) under uncultured bacterium. RNAcentral's name for it is "partial 16S ribosomal RNA". It matches the Rfam family "Bacterial small subunit ribosomal RNA", at positions 524 to 776 of the family's 1533-position model. The record is from RNAcentral.
UACGUAGGGGGCAAGCGUUGUCCGGAAUCAUUGGGCGUAAAGCGCGUGUAGGCGGCCAGGUAGGUCCGCUGUGAAAACCCGAGGCUCAACCUCGGGACGUCGGCGGAAACCAUCUGGCUAGAGUCCGGAAGAGGAGAGUGGAAUUCCCGGUGUAGCGGUGAAAUGCGCAGAUAUCGGGAAGAACACCCGUGGCGAAGGCGGCUCUCUGGGACGGUACUGACGCUGAGACGCGAAAGCGUGGGGAGCGAACAGG